RNAcentral lists this ribosomal RNA (497 nucleotides) under uncultured bacterium. RNAcentral's name for it is "partial 16S ribosomal RNA". It matches the Rfam family "Bacterial small subunit ribosomal RNA", at positions 28 to 507 of the family's 1533-position model. The record is from RNAcentral.
GAUGAACGCUGGCGGCGUGCCUAAUACAUGCAAGUCGAGCGAACAGACGAGGAGCUUGCUCCUCUGACGUUAGCGGCGGACGGGUGAGUAACACGUGGAUAACCUACCUAUAAGACUGGGAUAACUUCGGGAAACCGGAGCUAAUACCGGAUAAUAUAUUGAACCGCAUGGUUCAAUAGUGAAAGACGGUUUUGCUGUCACUUAUAGAUGGAUCCGCGCCGCAUUAGCUAGUUGGUAAGGUAACGGCUUACCAAGGCGACGAUGCGUAGCCGACCUGAGAGGGUGAUCGGCCACACUGGAACUGAGACACGGUCCAGACUCCUACGGGAGGCAGCAGUAGGGAAUCUUCCGCAAUGGGCGAAAGCCUGACGGAGCAACGCCGCGUGAGUGAUGAAGGUCUUCGGAUCGUAAAACUCUGUUAUUAGGGAAGGACAAAUGUGUAAGUAACUAUGCACGUCCUGACGGUACCUAAUCAGAAAGCCACGGCUAACUACGUG